RNAcentral lists this ribosomal RNA (382 nucleotides) under uncultured bacterium. Its description in RNAcentral is "bacterial SSU rRNA". It matches the Rfam family "Bacterial small subunit ribosomal RNA", at positions 28 to 416 of the family's 1533-position model. The record is from RNAcentral.
GAUUAACGCUGGCGGCAUGCCUAAUACAUGCAAGUCGAACGAAUCUUUUUAAGAUUAGUGGCGAACGGGUGAGUAAUGUAUGUUUAAUCUGCCCUAAUGUUUGGGAUAACUAUUGGAAACGAUAGCUAAUACCGAAUAGGAUAUAGGAAGGCAUCUUCUUAUGUUUAAAGGCGCGUUUGCGUCGCUUUGGGAUGAGAACAUAUCGUAUUAGCUUGUUGGUGAGGUAAAGGCUCACCAAGGCUGUGAUACGUAGCCGGACUGAGAGGUUGAACGGCCACAAUGGGACUGAGACACGGCCCAUACUCCUACGGAGGCAGCAGUAGGGAAUUUUUCACAAUGGACGAAAGUCUGAUGGAGCAAUGCCGCGUGAAGGAUGAAGGUC